RNAcentral lists this ribosomal RNA (2543 nucleotides) under Acinetobacter baumannii. Its description in RNAcentral is "partial 23S ribosomal RNA". It matches the Rfam family "Bacterial large subunit ribosomal RNA", at positions 417 to 2925 of the family's 2925-position model. The record is from RNAcentral. Lineage: Bacteria; Pseudomonadati; Pseudomonadota; Gammaproteobacteria; Moraxellales; Moraxellaceae.
GCGAGGCACGUGAAACCUUGUCUGAAUAUGGGGGGACCAUCCUCCAAGGCUAAAUACUCCUGACUGACCGAUAGUGAACCAGUACCGUGAGGGAAAGGCGAAAAGAACCCCUGUGAGGGGAGUGAAAUAGAUCCUGAAACCGCAUGCAUACAAGCAGUGGGAGCACCUUCGUGGUGUGACUGCGUACCUUUUGUAUAAUGGGUCAGCGACUUAUAUUCAGUAGCAAGGUUAACCGUAUAGGGGAGCCGUAGAGAAAUCGAGUCUUAAUAGGGCGUUUAGUUGCUGGGUAUAGACCCGAAACCAGGCGAUCUAUCCAUGAGCAGGUUGAAGGUUGGGUAACACUAACUGGAGGACCGAACCCACUGUCGUUGAAAAGCCAGGGGAUGACUUGUGGAUAGGGGUGAAAGGCUAAUCAAGCCUGGUGAUAGCUGGUUCUCCCCGAAAGCUAUUUAGGUAGCGCCUCGGACGAAUACCAUAGGGGGUAGAGCACUGUUUCGGCUAGGGGGUCAUCCCGACUUACCAAACCGAUGCAAACUCCGAAUACCUAUGAGUACUAUCCGGGAGACAGACUGCGGGUGCUAACGUCCGUAGUCAAGAGGAAAACAAUCCAGACCGCCAGCUAAGGCCCCAAAAUCAUAGUUAAGUGGGAAACGAUGUGGGAAGGCAUAGACAGCUAGGAGGUUGGCUUAGAAGCAGCCACCCUUUAAAGAAAGCGUAAUAGCUCACUAGUCGAGUCGGCCUGCGCGGAAGAUGUAACGGGGCUAAAACUAUGUGCCGAAGCUGCGGAUGUAUACUUUGUAUACGUGGUAGGGGAGCGUUCUGUAAGCCGAUGAAGGUGUGUUGAGAAGCAUGCUGGAGGUAUCAGAAGUGCGAAUGCUGACGUGAGUAACGACAAAACGGGUGAAAAACCCGUUCGCCGAAAGACCAAGGGUUCCAGUCCAACGUUAAUCGGGGCUGGGUGAGUCGACCCCUAAGGCGAGGCCGAAAGGCGUAGUCGAUGGGAAAAUGGUUAAUAUUCCAUUACUUCUGUGUAAUGCGAUGAGAGGACGGAGAAGGCUAAAUCAGCCUGGCGUUGGUUGUCCAGGUGAAAGGAUGUAGGCAUGUAUCUUAGGCAAAUCCGGGGUACUCUAUGCUGAGAUCUGAUAGCAAGCUGUACUUGUACAGCGAAGUGGUUGAUGCCAUGCUUCCAGGAAAAGUCUCUAAGCUUCAGUUACACAGGAAUCGUACCCGAAACCGACACAGGUGGUCAGGUCGAGUAGACCAAGGCGCUUGAGAGAACUCUGCUGAAGGAACUAGGCAAAAUGGUACCGUAACUUCGGGAGAAGGUACGCUGUUGUUGGUGAUGGAACUCGCUUCCUGAGCUGACGACAGCCGCAGAAACCAGGCCGCUGCAACUGUUUAUUAAAAACAUAGCACUCUGCAAACACGAAAGUGGACGUAUAGGGUGUGAUGCCUGCCCGGUGCUGGAAGGUUAAUUGAUGGGGUUAGCGUAAGCGAAGCUCUUGAUCGAAGCCCCAGUAAACGGCGGCCGUAACUAUAACGGUCCUAAGGUAGCGAAAUUCCUUGUCGGGUAAGUUCCGACCUGCACGAAUGGCAUAAUGAUGGCGGCGCUGUCUCCAGCAGAGGCUCAGUGAAAUCGAAAUCGCUGUGAAGAUGCAGUGUACCCGCGGCUAGACGGAAAGACCCCGUGAACCUUUACUGCAGCUUGACACUGAACUUUGACCUUACUUGUGUAGGAUAGGUGGGAGGCUUUGAAGCUGGAACGCUAGUUCCAGUGGAGCCGUCCUUGAAAUACCACCCUGGUAAUGUUGAGGUUCUAACUCUGUCCCGUGAUCCGGGACGAGGACCGUGUCUGGUGGGUAGUUUGACUGGGGCGGUCUCCUCCUAAAGAGUAACGGAGGAGUACGAAGGUGCGCUCAGCGUGGUCGGAAAUCACGCGUAGAGUAUAAAGGCAAAAGCGCGCUUAACUGCGAGACCCACAAGUCGAGCAGGUACGAAAGUAGGUCUUAGUGAUCCGGUGGUUCUGUAUGGAAGGGCCAUCGCUCAACGGAUAAAAGGUACUCUGGGGAUAACAGGCUGAUACCGCCCAAGAGUUCAUAUCGACGGCGGUGUUUGGCACCUCGAUGUCGGCUCAUCUCAUCCUGGGGCUGAAGCAGGUCCCAAGGGUAUGGCUGUUCGCCAUUUAAAGAGGUACGCGAGCUGGGUUUAGAACGUCGUGAGACAGUUCGGUCCCUAUCUACCGUGGGCGCUGGAAAUUUGAGAGGAUCUGCUCCUAGUACGAGAGGACCAGAGUGGACGAACCUCUGGUGUACCGGUUGUGACGCCAGUCGCAUCGCCGGGUAGCUAUGUUCGGAAGGGAUAACCGCUGAAAGCAUCUAAGCGGGAAGCCUACCUCAAGAUAAGAUUUCCCUAGGACUUUAUGUCCUCUAAAGAGCCGUUCGAGACUAGGACGUUGAUAGGUUGGAUGUGGAAGCAUAGUGAUAUGUGAAGCUGACCAAUACUAAUUGCUCGUGAGGCUUGACUAUACAACACCCAAGCAGUUG